UACGUAGGGGGCGAGCGUUGUCCGGAAUUAUUGGGCGUAAAGAGCUCGUAGGCGGUUCGGCAAGUCACGUGUGAAAUCUCCACGCUCAACGUGGAGGCGCCACGUGAGACUGCUGUGACUCGAGUCCGGUAGGGGAGCGUGGAAUUCCCGGUGUAGCGGUGAAAUGCGCAGAGAUCGGGAGGAACACCCGUAGCGAAGGCGGCGCUCUGGGCCGGUACUGACGCUGAGGAGCGAAAGCGUGGGGAGCGAACAGG
Molecule: ribosomal RNA, 254 nt
Filed under: uncultured bacterium
Lineage: Bacteria
Description: partial 16S ribosomal RNA
Rfam family: Bacterial small subunit ribosomal RNA
Source: RNAcentral